GUGCUCACUUCGGCAACACACAUACUAAAAUUAGAACAAUACAGAGAAGAUUAGCAUGGCCCUUAUGCAAGGAUGACAUGCAAAUUCAUGAAGUGUUCCAUAUUAAA
Lepus europaeus (European hare) is the source of this 107-nucleotide small nuclear RNA. NCBI's taxonomy places the organism in Eukaryota, Metazoa, Chordata, Mammalia, Lagomorpha, Leporidae. The record is from RefSeq and is a predicted model, not a curated record.